GAUGUGAAAUCCCCGGGCUCAACCUGGGAACUGCAUUCGAAACUGGCAGGCUAGAGUCUUGUAGAGGGGGGUAGAAUUCCAGGUGUAGCGGUGAAAUGCGUAGAGAUCUGGAGGAAUACCGGUGGCGAAGGCGGCCCCCUGGACAAAGACUGACGCUCAGGUGCGAAAGCGUGGGGAGCAAACAGGAUUAGAUACCCUGGUAGUCCACGCCGUAAACGAUGUCGACUUGGAGGUUGUGCCCUUGAGGCGUGGCUUCCGGAGCUAACGCGUUAAGUCGACCGCCUGGGGAGUACGGCCGCAAGGUUAAAACUCAAAUGAAUUGACGGGGGCCCGCACAAGCGGUGGAGCAUGUGGUUUAAUUCGAUGCAACGCGAAGAACCUUACCUACUCUUGACAUCCAGAGAACUUACCAGAGAUGCAUUGGUGCCUUCGGGAACUCUGAGACAGGUGCUGCAUGGCUGUCGUCAGCUCGUGUUGUGAAAUGUUGGGUUAAGUCCCGCAACGAGCGCAACCCUUAUCCUUUGUUGCCAGCGGUCCGGCCGGGAACUCAAAGGAGACUGCCAGUGAUAAACUGGAGGAAGGUGGGAAUGACGUCAAGUCAUCAUGGCCCU
RNAcentral lists this ribosomal RNA (611 nucleotides) under bacterium 5-LKL1. RNAcentral's name for it is "bacterial SSU rRNA". It matches the Rfam family "Bacterial small subunit ribosomal RNA", at positions 591 to 1202 of the family's 1533-position model. The record is from RNAcentral.